RNAcentral lists this ribosomal RNA (253 nucleotides) under uncultured bacterium. RNAcentral's name for it is "partial 16S ribosomal RNA". It matches the Rfam family "Bacterial small subunit ribosomal RNA", at positions 524 to 776 of the family's 1533-position model. The record is from RNAcentral.
UACGAAGGGGGCUAGCGUUGUUCGGAAUUACUGGGCGUAAAGGGCGCGUAGGCGGUGUGUCAAGUCAGGCGUGAAAGCCCCGGGCUCAACCUGGGAACCGCGCUUGAGACUGGCACGCUCGAGUUCGGGAGAGGAUGGUGGAAUUCCCAGUGUAGAGGUGAAAUUCGUAGAUAUUGGGAAGAACACCGAUGGCGAAGGCAGCCAUCUGGACCGGCACUGACGCUGAGGCACGAAAGCGUGGGUAGCAAACAGG